GAAGCCGGAAUCGCUAGUAAUCGCGGAUCAGAAUGCCGCGGUGAAUACGUUCCCGGGUCUUGUACACACCGCCCGUCACACCAUGGGAGUCGGAAAUGCCCGAAGUCUGUGACCCAACCGCAAGGAGGGAGCAGCCGAAGGCAGGUCGGAUGACUGGGGUGAAGUCGUAACAAGGUAGC
This 179-nucleotide ribosomal RNA is filed under the name uncultured bacterium. RNAcentral describes it as "partial 16S ribosomal RNA". It matches the Rfam family "Bacterial small subunit ribosomal RNA", at positions 1322 to 1500 of the family's 1533-position model. The record is from RNAcentral.